GCACAUCUAUGAAAUGAGCUGCUUCAAUCCUACACAAAGUUAAUCCUUUUGGAAAAAACAGAAACUUCUCCAAAAUUUAUGCUGAGAUAAUGCGCCAAGGUCAAAGUGUCCUCAUGUUAAAUAAAAGAGGUGAAUGUUGGACACUUGACUCCUGGGACACCAGCAUUAAUGCCCACACUUAAAAUAUACAUUGUUGUGAGGAUUUAGAAUAAAGAGAAAGAAAAAAAAAAAAACCUCGAGCAUUUUGUGUAAUUCGAUAGCAUAUUCCUAUUCGUGGAUAUGGUUUCAAUAUAAAAAUUGUGGGGGAAAAAAAACUUGAGAGAAGUCUACUCCCACCCCUGGUCCUCCCUUCCUGUUCUCAGCCAGCCUUUGUUGUGUACUGGUGGACUGUGGUCAGGAUGGGUUGUGUGGCAUCGGGGGAGUAUGCAGUGCUGCCAGCUACUGGCAUAGGCCUCUCUGUGCAGGGGGCACAGCGCAAACACCCCCUAGAUAAAGGUGGGCAUGACGGCUUUCCCACAGCCUGCUCAGUAGAGUGUGUCAAUCUCUCAGAUGAAUCCCUGCCAACGCCUUUCCCUCUUAAAGGCACAAAUGAAUGUGGCUGUCAUUUGCAUGCAGGAACCAUGACUUAGUUGUCACUGCAUCCAGGAGCUGUUGAAGUGACCUAAUUUCAAGUCAUUUUUAAUUCAGAGAUGAUCUCUAACUAGGGGAAAUGCCAUCAUCGCUCCUUUCCCCGGCCACUUCGCCUUUACGUGAAAGCAAUGUUUGGACGUUUCUUCGCCUACUGGCUUUAUGAAGAAAAAGUUAAUCUACCAACCUGCUGGGUUCAGCUUCCUAAACCUUGCUUAUGCAAGGCUGCUUGAUCACCUCUCUCCUUCUCUGUCUCAUGCACACACAUGUAUGCACACAGGUACAUGCUUAUGUGGACUUUUAUGUGAUUUAAUCAACAUCUAAUCAUUCUUAGUGUUUUGUUUGCAAGUAAACAAAAUUCUUUAUGUACACAGACUCGUCGGAGGCCAGAAUAUUUUCUACUGGCAAGUCAUCGUCUUAUAUACAGAGAUUUCAUCAUUCCAUUUAUCAAAAAAACUCAGGCUUCUAGCAUUUUCCUUUUUGUUUAGGAACUAUGCUCUGAGCACUUGUCAGAAAUAGUGGAUCAAAGUCAGAGGUAGGUUUUCCACCCCAGGUGUGGCGCAUCCAGCACGUUCUCAGGUACGCCUCCAGUGGCCACACUGUCAUGGCGGCUCUGCCUUCCAACAUGGCUCCCUCCACUGCCCUGCCAACAAGAUCUCUCUGGGAAUGCAAAUGUUUUUUUUCUUUGUAUGUAUGAAAAUGCUGGGAGCCAUUAGCCAAGUAGGUGUGAAAAUUUCCUUGCCAGCGUACCCCAUGUUGCAGUGACAUUGAAUGUAGGUGACCUUGCUCAAGGACCAGGGCGGAUUAGGGUGUUCCCGGUUUAGGAUAAUCGGGUUUAGGGCGUUCCAGGUUUAAGAUUAUUCCUGCUGGGAAUAGGGCGUAUCCUGCUGCCUGAGUUCCCCUUGAGUUCUCACGGGAUUCAGACAGUAUUUUUUGGGAGACAGAAGCCCAGUGGUGGUGGAUUUGGGCAGAGAACGUGGAUUUCCCCAGAACGUGUUUGUAGACGGCUGGUGUGAGUUCGGGAAUAAAGAGUUGCUGUUUGAAUCUACAAGCUGUGUGGUGGCUCGUGAUUGUGUGCCCAGCCAGACUGUGGCAUGAAAAGGGCAAGUGCUCCUAGCAGCAGCCACAUACAUGGAAAAUUAUACAUUUGACCUGCUGAAACAUCUCUAUCAGUUUUAGAAUGGAAAAAGAUCUUCAGAGGACGCAUCAGGUACCAGGCAUCUGGCAUUUAGCCAAGAGCUUCCUUAAGCUGAGCUAUUGCCUUCAAUCCCGCCUGGCCAACUGGACCUGCUGGAAGUUGUGAGCUAGACCACAACUAGAAGGUUCCAGUUUCUCUCCAUCUCCAGAGUGAACAGCCAUGACUGACAGGAGGGGGAUGAGCAUGGAAUGGCUGACCCUUGACUGGUCCUGAGCUGCUCUCCUCCGCCAAGCCCUCCCGCCAUGAUGUUCUGCCUCACCUCAGGCCAGAGCUGUGGAGUUGGCCAAACAUGAACUGAAUCUCUGAGACCGUGAGCCCAAAUAAACUUUUCCUCCUCUA
This is a long non-coding RNA of Marmota monax (woodchuck), 2164 nucleotides long. RefSeq lists it as uncharacterized. The record is from RefSeq and is a predicted model, not a curated record. NCBI's taxonomy places the organism in Eukaryota, Metazoa, Chordata, Mammalia, Rodentia, Sciuridae. The transcript has 3 exons.